This 225-nucleotide long non-coding RNA is filed under the name Jatropha curcas. RNAcentral's name for it is "long non-coding RNA (JCUR_LNC002536)". Lineage: Eukaryota; Viridiplantae; Streptophyta; Magnoliopsida; Malpighiales; Euphorbiaceae. The record is from RNAcentral.
CUAAACCUCGCGUUUUAGGUGCAUCCAUCCGAGAAUUAACAUUACUACCAACCGCAAGCCUAGUACCUUAAAGGUGCGUCAAAAGGAGUAGGCCCAACAAAGCCCGAAUCCUGUUUGCGGAACCCAGACUUUGUUAAGCCCAAUAAGACUAAAGCCAAUGCAUAUAGUUGAAAAAACCUUAGUUACUUCCCCUAAGGUGUACCCGAUUCUAUUUGCUGUUGUUAN